UCUCUCUCUCUCUCUCUCUCCGUCUUCGGGUCACGAGAAGGCGAAAAAUUCUGGCCUUCUAUCUCCUUCUACUACUACUCUAGCUCGAUCAUAAAGUAGAAACAUGCCGACCAGGGACAUGAGCUCAAGAAAAGGCACUCGUUUUUUUUUUUUUUUGCUCCUUUUCCCUCUCUUUUGUCAUCGGUUCAAGCGGAAAUGCCGAACUUUCUUGAUUCUCCACGAUCCAAAAUCUCUUUUUUCAAGGUUCUGGUGACCAAUUUGCGUUAUUUCUUUCCGUAACUCAAACUUUUAGGGUUCUAAAAAGCAAUUCGGAUCGGAACACAUGAAACCGAGGUACACUGUUCCAUUUCUCCAACUUUCAAUUCCUUUAAGGGUUUUGCGGCAUUUGUUCGGGCUUCGGAGAGAGAAUUCGGAUUACUGGAUCUCUCUUUGUCUCGAUUCAAUUCCCUUAUGGCGGGAGAGGGAUGGAGACCAGGAGCAACGUUUAGGGCUUUGUGGAGCUGGGGUUCGGGUUAGGGUUUUU
Molecule: long non-coding RNA, 523 nt
Filed under: Elaeis guineensis (African oil palm)
Lineage: Eukaryota; Viridiplantae; Streptophyta; Magnoliopsida; Arecales; Arecaceae
Description: long non-coding RNA (EGUI_LNC026322)
Source: RNAcentral